This 216-nucleotide ribosomal RNA is filed under the name uncultured bacterium. RNAcentral describes it as "partial 16S ribosomal RNA". It matches the Rfam family "Bacterial small subunit ribosomal RNA", at positions 118 to 334 of the family's 1533-position model. The record is from RNAcentral.
UAUCCAACCUGCCGUCUACUCUUGGACAGCCUUCUGAAAGGAAGAUUAAUACAAGAUGGCAUCAUGAGUCCGCAUGUUCACAUGAUUAAAGGUAUUCCGGUAGACGAUGGGGAUGCGUUCCAUUAGAUAGUAGGCGGGGUAACGGCCCACCUAGUCUUCGAUGGAUAGGGGUUCUGCGAGGAAGGUCCCCCACAUUGGAACUGAGACACGGUCCAA